RNAcentral lists this long non-coding RNA (1891 nucleotides) under Calidris pugnax (ruff). RNAcentral describes it as "lncRNA (ENSCPUG00000012785.1)". Lineage: Eukaryota; Metazoa; Chordata; Aves; Charadriiformes; Scolopacidae. The record is from RNAcentral.
GAGGCCACCAAGGUCCCCCCUCCUGCAGAGCCGGGGUUUCUCUUGGGGCAGAAGCAGCAGAUUGGUGUGUUUGUGAAGGAGGAGCUGAGGGAGAGCCAGGGACCUUCUGGGGUUUGUACUUACUCUUCACUGUUGGUUUUCUGAGGAUGGGGUAGCAGGGGAAUUUGGCCCGUAUAGGCUUGAUGAGGCUUCGAUACCUCGGGCGCAGGAUAUAUUGGACCACAGGAGCUGGUACUGGGAAGGCUGGAGGGUACCAAUACAGGUAGGGGACUGGGUUUAUGCUGCAAGAGAAACAGGACAGACAUUUCAGGGAAGGAUUCAGUGUGGACUGAUGCAAUUGUUGAGGUACAAGCCCCGUUUGUUAAGAGCAGCAUGGGUGAGAGCACGUGGAACCAGCAGGGCCCAGGAUCUCCAGGCUUCCCAGGGAGACAGAGGCUAUUCCAGCUCCAGGUUUCCCUGGAGGGACUGGAGUGUGUGUUGGUGGCAGGAUGCAGAGCUUCAUGGGGAUGGUGGCAGGAGUGCCCAGGAGAAGAGGCCCUGAAGAGCAAGCGCUCCUGGAGAAACACUCACUUGAUGUUGUCUGGCAGCAGAGCUCCUCCAGUCCCCCAAUUCUCCUGGGUCCAGUCUUCCUCCUGAGGGGCCCUUGGCGGGGACUCCAGAGGCAGAGUGUGACCUCUCCUGAUCUUCUCAGAGGUCUGGGACUCUGGAGCUGGAAGAGGGUCCCAGCUGGCCUGGAUGGGCGGCAGGGGGAUGUCUGGGAGUGUUACAUCCCUGUCUAAGAGGAUCUGGAAGGAGACAAUGUGCGUGCAGGUCACAUACCCAUAACAUGGAUACGAGGCCCCUUUUCAGCAUGGAAAAAGGCUGCUAAGAUGAUACAAACUCUUUUGAAGAGCAAAGUGUUUCAAAGUUGAGGAAAAAGACUCAAGUCAAGGUUUUACAGAGGCAGCACCUCCAAGGGGAAAAGUAAGAAGCCCCAGAGGGCAGAGGAGCGAGAGCAGCUGAUUGUGCAUCCUCGAUUCAUUUGCAGAGCCUUCAGAACCUUACCCUCUUUGGUGUUUCAAAUUCCUCUUCCUCUUCAUCGCUAUCAAAAACGGAGCCGGAGUCCAUUGUGUCUGUAUAAACUUGUGAGAAUUUCCUCUUCCUGUCGGAUGGUGUUCUGGGGCUCCAGGACAGGUCACUCCCAGCUUUUCCCUCCUGCCGCUCGGUGGUAGAGGGCUCCAGGCUCAGCUGGGCCACUUCCACUUGUCCCCUUCCAGAGUCCCGAGGCUCUUCACUCUCCUCUUGGUGGUUUCUGAAGGGAUCAAAAGCCCCAAAUCGUUAGAUUAAAACAUGGGCAGCUAGCAGAUUGCGUCUCUUCCUUGAUUGAAAUCCCUAAAGGCCCAGAACCAAGCUUCUCCCUCAAGAUCACCAACGGGAUUCACUCACCCGUCUUGCUGCCAGUUGGUCACGGCAGUCCCCGCCAGGUCUUCGUGGGGCUGGUCUUUGUGGUCUUCAUCGUCUGACGUGUCCUUCAGGAGAGAGCCCAGAGAUCAGUUCCUCUGAGCAAGAGAGGGGGCAUCUUCCCUCUGCUCAGCUUCCCACAGGGUGAAUCAAGUUAAGCCCCCUCCCGUCCCCACCAGGGAGAAGUAAAACCCCUUGAUCUAACGGCAAAGAGAUACCCCAGAGAAGAAAGGAUGGUUUUGGCAGCCAUUGUAGCAUUUGCCACAGUUUGUAAAUCCAAGCUGAGUUAACUCUGCCUUGGACAAACAUUAAUUCUUUGUAGCAAUGACCCGAGUUGGUAUUUACCAUGAGUGCAGGUACGUUUGAUAAAAGACGAUUCACUAGUAGUUUUUAGUAUUUUUAGGUCUAAUAAUCUAAUAAACUAUCUAAUAUCUUAAGAAACUACUUAAUA